This is a long non-coding RNA of Neoarius graeffei (lesser salmon catfish), 422 nucleotides long. RefSeq lists it as uncharacterized. Lineage: Eukaryota; Metazoa; Chordata; Actinopteri; Siluriformes; Ariidae. The record is from RefSeq and is a predicted model, not a curated record. The transcript is spliced from 3 exons.
CUUCUCUCCCCCGUUGUCUAUCCAGUGCUCAUUUUAGUAAUUUUCAUGUCAUAGAAGCUCGCGUGGGUGUUGCUGCUGGCUGCAUGCUGUUCACCACUCCUUAUGCCUCUCACUGUUCGCUGCUGGUAGAUCUCGUGUAGCUUCGCUCCCUCCGCUCCACGCUGUGUUGUCCUGGACUGCUUGACCAGCCUUAGCUUCCUCCUCCAGCCAUUGUGCUGAGUCUACGGUGGUGGAUUGGUGUCCCUGUGAUGGUGUUCCCCUUGUGUUGUGUUUUGCACGUCAGGUGGUUUUUGCUUCCUAUUUAGUUGCUUCAUGUGUGGUGUUCCUGGGAUUCCCCUUUUUAUUUGCACCAUCUGGCACUGUGAGUCUCAGCCCUGAUUGGUUUUCCCUUGAUUGUCCCAGAGCGAGUGACAUUUUAUUCU